Molecule: long non-coding RNA, 1244 nt
Organism: Harpia harpyja (harpy eagle)
Lineage: Eukaryota; Metazoa; Chordata; Aves; Accipitriformes; Accipitridae
Exons: 2
Source: RefSeq, a predicted model, not a curated record
CUGAACAACACCUGCAGUCAUUAUAUUUCAUUUUGCUUAUUCAUGAAAUAGGAGGAGCAUCUUCUAGCCUCAUUACAUGUUAUUUUCAAUACUGUUGUUCAAAAGUGAUUAACUAUCUAUCUGAAAGCUAGUUUCAGGCCUUUUAAUUGGAAAAAAAAGUGUAAUCAGCUGAAAAUAUGUGCAAUCCGAAGACUAGUGACACUAGCAGACAUAAAAUGAAGUAGCCAUAAAAUUCAGGAUGAACACCUCUGUAUUUAAUGAAACUGCUGCAUCAUGAAUACAGAAGUCAGAGUUUGGGAACUGCGUUGUUAACUUUUACCAAAGCACAGCAUGUCUUGAGAACAGAAAAGCCCUUCACACCUAUUCGUGAUUGUUCUGUAGGACUACUAUACUGCCAUCAUACAGAAGAUAUUCAAGGGGUGUUUUGAGGGAUAACUUUAGAUCAAAGAGACUUUUAGGCUCCUACUAGUCAAUGAAACAGGUGCUCUAAACCACAUUCUGGAAGAGUCUUCCCACCUCUCUCCACAUGCAGAGCCUAGUUCCCUGUACCAAAAGGAAAUCCAAGUGCUUUACUUUUAAAACAAAACUGUAGAUAUUACUAAUUAUAACAUCACAGUUUCAGAAGACAAAGAAGUCAACAAUGCCUUAGAAUGGAUACCCGGCAUUUGUUUACUGAAUGUUUUACUAGUUCAAACUACACCACACAUGAAAUAGACAUUAUUCCUGGAUAUAAAAGUCUUUGUUUAAAACUUCAGGUAGGUGAAUACCUGAAGGAAUAAGCACCAUUUUUUCCCCUCUCACUGCAACUGCACUUGGCUGACUGUGAUUACUCACAUUGACUUUGGCUAGAGCAUUAGGAUUAAUCCCAGUUUUACAUACUGUUGUGGGCCUUUCAGUUGCCACAAAUACUUAGAACUUCUUUUACAGUCUUCCUGAGAAUGUAGUCUUAAGAGCUUCAUAUCCCCAUGUCCUGUUCUCAGAAAUACUAAUUCAGUGCUACUCCAGCAGUCAUUGUGGUGUUGAUUUCAUCAGCAUGCCUUUCCAGAGCUCAAAUAGGACAAGUACAUUCAAGGAACAGCCAGAUAGAAACAUUUUCUUUUAAUCCAUUACUUAAUCCACUUGUAAAAUGUUACUUUUUAUUCCAGGUAAAUGAUUCUAGUAGUACUAGAGAUUGUUCAGCUAUGAGUAGUUGUACAUCAAUACUGAUAAAGAAAAUAAAAGGUGGGGUUUGUUUGGGUUUUUUU